GUUUAGUAUCUUUUUUGUGCGUACCUCCAGUGUUCCAUGUCCACAGCCAUUGUUACGUUUUUGUACCUUUUUUUGACCCACGGGACAUUGUUUGUAAACAUUUUUGUCAGGUGCUGAUUUGUGUCACCUGCCUCUGUUUAGUGGUCGGUACGCUCACCUGCUCACUGUCACUAAUCAGAGAGCUAUUUAUUCCUGCCUCCUGCCACACUCUCUGGCAGUCUUCUGUCACGCCGGGGUGGCAUGAUUUUGCAGUGGUCGUUUCCCCAAGAUGAUGUCAGGAAGCAGCGUGCAGUGAUGUUGUCUACCUCCUGACCUCAGAUGCUACUGGAGGAACAUAUGGGGCGGAUAGAUGGAACUACAUGAUGCUACAGAGAGCACACAGCUCAAUACUUCAAAACCAGAGAGAGAGGACUACCAAGCCUGGUAAUGGAAUGACCACGCUGCCCCCUACUGGUGGAAUGAGGUACGACCUUGGGAACACUGCAGAUGAUCUUGUCCUUCCCA
Long non-coding RNA from Nerophis ophidion (straightnose pipefish), 504 nucleotides. RefSeq lists it as uncharacterized. The transcript is spliced from 4 exons. NCBI's taxonomy places the organism in Eukaryota, Metazoa, Chordata, Actinopteri, Syngnathiformes, Syngnathidae. The record is from RefSeq and is a predicted model, not a curated record.